GGCGGGGCUGGGGCUGCGCGCGCCCGGGGCGGGGACCCGCGCCCCUUCUCGGGCUCUCCCUGGCGGCGCAGUGCAGUGCUGGGGCCACGGCCCGGGAGCCCCUAGGUGAGACUUCAGGUCGCUAUCAGCCUUGGAGGAAGGUGUUUCCUGUCCCCUGCCCCUGAGCCCCGGGGGCCCGGACCCCCCCCAGACCGCGGAGUGACGCGUCACCCGAAUCCGGGGUGGGCCUGGCUCUCCCAGCGCUGCCGCUCGCCCUCCGGAGUGUGGGCGCCCUCUCUCCCGAGCCUCACCAGGGCCGGCGUGGCGCUUCUCCAAACACAGCUCUUCCUCUCUUCACAGUCCCUGGGUAUUUAAAGUCACCGUGGUGACCCAUUCCCUGAGCUGGAUUCCUUUCAUUCUCCCGGGAAUGUACUGUGUAGCGACGCCCAGUCGUUCAACACGCCCCGACUGGGUUCGCACCCGGCUCAGGGUCCGCCCCGGGCUACUGCGCGCGCAAACCUCCCAAGACCCCUUCGCCGUCGCACCGCCGGGUUAGUGAGCCCGCGCUGCCAGAAAGAUGCCCGAGGCUGGCCGCAAGUGACGGAUGCAUUCGGGCCCCUGCCAGGGGGUCCAGGUCCUGGAAGAACGCCCGGGAGUUGAAAGGUUCCCCCCCAGGCCAGGGCUUCCUAGCGCCUUUGCAUCCUUCAGGCGCAGGGCCGGGAAUCUUCCUGAGACUGACUGCCUCAGCCCCAACAACUAGACUGAAAACACAUUGUCGGUUUUAGCUGCAGCCUGGGAGUCACUCCAUCAAAAUAACGCGUUUGUGGAGCUACCCUACACUGGUGACUCCUAAAGCCCUAGGAAUCCUCUCGCAGGCCGGUGGAUUAACAGUGUCCUCUCCGUGUGGAUUUGCUCAGUAGAAUUGGAUGGCUCCUUUGCUGAUCUGUCCGCAGCAGAAAAAAGAAAAGAAAAGAAAAGAAAAGAAAAGGAAAGAAAAGAAAAGAAAAGAAAAGAAAAGAAAAGAAAAGAAAAGAAAAGAAAAGAAAAGAAAAGAAAAGAAGGAAGAAAAAAACCUUUAGGAAGGGAACUUGGAAGCUCAUCUGUGACUCUGGAAGGAGACAGCCCCACGUGGCUCCCAUCUGGCAACACAGAGCAGCCGCUGCCAAGCAGGAGUGGAACUGUGUCCAACUUAAGGUGAGAAAGAAUAGGAGAUGGAACCCCGACAC
This 1205-nucleotide long non-coding RNA is filed under the name Felis catus (domestic cat). Its description in RNAcentral is "lncRNA (ENSFCAG00000040173.2)". The record is from RNAcentral. Lineage: Eukaryota; Metazoa; Chordata; Mammalia; Carnivora; Felidae.